RNAcentral lists this unclassified non-coding RNA (329 nucleotides) under soil metagenome. RNAcentral's name for it is "partial contains 5.8S ribosomal RNA, internal transcribed spacer 2, and large subunit ribosomal RNA". The stretch from base 1 to 120 matches the Rfam family "5.8S ribosomal RNA", at positions 35 to 154 of the family's 154-position model. The record is from RNAcentral.
GAUGAAGAACGUAGCGAAAUGCGAUAAGUAAUGUGAAUUGCAGAAUUCAGUGAAUCAUCGAAUCUUUGAACGCACAUUGCGCCCCUUGGUAUUCCGAGGGGCAUGCCUGUUCGAGCGUCAUUAUAACCCCUCAAGCUCAGCUUGGUGUUGGGGCCUGCUGCACUGGCAGCCCUUAAAAUCAGUGGCGGCGCCAUCUGGCUCUAAGCGUAGUAAUUCUUCUCGCUAUGGGGUCCUGGUGGAUGCUUGCCAUCAACCCCCAAUUUUUCUAUGGUUGACCUCGGAUCAGGUAGGGAUACCCGCUGAACUUAAGCAUAUCAAUAAGCGGAGGA